UUUAGCCUAGAGUCAGAGAGACCCAGAAAUCUGGAGCAUGAAGCUCUGAGCAGGAGUCUAAAACCAAACAUCAAAACCAGAUGGAAACAACAACAACAAAGAAAGCAAGCUAAGUGAAAAAAAUGAUGUUUCUGGGUUCAGGACACAAUAAUGCUUGGUUCAAGCGCAGCAAAGGUCAGUGAGAAGAAGAGGUCCCUCCUUUGCCUGCUGUUCCAUAUCCAAGUAUGGUUGCUGAGGCACAGGAAGUAAUGAGACACUUUCUUCAUUUCAUCCCCAGCUGUGAUGAACCAAAUCUGGUCUCAGGACAAUUGCAUGCUCUCUUUGGAGGUGACAUCAAGUUUGACAAGCAGAAGAAACAGUAGAAGGAAUAAAAUGUUUUGCAAACACUUGUUCAUCACAUAUUGUUAAAGAACACACACACUGCAUUUAUAGUAUAUUAUAAUCUCUUUCCAUGUUAUAUUAUCCCAGUGGAAAACUCUCCAUAAUAAAG
This is a long non-coding RNA of Rhineura floridana, 490 nucleotides long. RefSeq lists it as uncharacterized. The record is from RefSeq and is a predicted model, not a curated record. The transcript is spliced from 3 exons. Lineage: Eukaryota; Metazoa; Chordata; Lepidosauria; Squamata; Rhineuridae.